CGCAUGGGCGCAGCUACACAUGCAGUCGAACGGUAGCACAGAGGAGCUUGCUCCUCGGGUGACGAGUGGCGGACGGGUGAGUAAUGUCUGGGAAACUGCCCGAUGGAGGGGGAUAACUACUGGAAACGGUAGCUAAUACCGCAUAACGUCGCAAGACCAAAGUGGGGGACCUUCGGGCCUCACACCAUCGGAUGUGCCCAGAUGGGAUUAGCUAGUAGGUGGGGUAACGGCUCACCUAGGCGACGAUCCCUAGCUGGUCUGAGAGGAUGACCAGCCACACUGGAACUGAGACACGGUCCAGACUCCUACGGGAGGCAGCAGUGGGGAAUAUUGCACAAUGGGCGCAAGCCUGAUGCAGCCAUGCCGCGUGUAUGAAGAAGGCCUUCGGGUUGUAAAGUACUUUCAGCGGGGAGGAAGGCGACGUGGUUAAUAACCGCGUCGAUUGACGUUACCCGCAGAAGAAGCACCGGCUAACUCCGUGCCAGCAGCCC
Molecule: ribosomal RNA, 491 nt
Filed under: Pseudomonas sp.
Lineage: Bacteria; Pseudomonadati; Pseudomonadota; Gammaproteobacteria; Pseudomonadales; Pseudomonadaceae
Description: bacterial SSU rRNA
Rfam family: Bacterial small subunit ribosomal RNA
Source: RNAcentral